ACGAACGCUGGCGGCGUGCUUAACACAUGCAAGUCGAACGGAAAGGCCCUGCUUUUGUGGGGUGCUCGAGUGGCGAACGGGUGAGUAACACGUGAGUAACCUGCCCUUGACUUUGGGAUAACUUCAGGAAACUGGGGCUAAUACCGGAUAGGAGCUCCUGCUGCAUGGUGGGGGUUGGAAAGUUUCGGCGGUUGGGGAUGGACUCGCGGCUUAUCAGCUUGUUGGUGGGGUAGUGGCUUACCAAGGCUUUGACGGGUAGCCGGCCUGAGAGGGUGACCGGCCCCAUGGGGCCUGGGGAGCGGCCCGGACCCCCUCGGGGGGAAGGGGGGGGGGUUUUUCCGAGAGGCGCGGAGGCCUGGAGCAAGACCCCCGGGGCGGGAAAGGCGGCUUUGGGGUUGGAAACCGUUUUCGCCUGUAGAGGAGCGUGGGUGCGGGAAAUGGGUAAAGAGCCACCGCUAACCUCCUU
This 466-nucleotide ribosomal RNA is filed under the name uncultured bacterium. RNAcentral describes it as "partial 16S ribosomal RNA". It matches the Rfam family "Bacterial small subunit ribosomal RNA", at positions 29 to 507 of the family's 1533-position model. The record is from RNAcentral.